This 23-nucleotide microRNA is filed under the name Tribolium castaneum (red flour beetle). RNAcentral's name for it is "tca-miR-125-3p". Its record names the gene tca-miR-125-3p. The record is from miRBase by way of RNAcentral. Lineage: Eukaryota; Metazoa; Arthropoda; Insecta; Coleoptera; Tenebrionidae.
ACAAGCUAGCGACUCGGGUAUUG